RNAcentral lists this ribosomal RNA (496 nucleotides) under uncultured bacterium. Its description in RNAcentral is "partial 16S ribosomal RNA". It matches the Rfam family "Bacterial small subunit ribosomal RNA", at positions 28 to 507 of the family's 1533-position model. The record is from RNAcentral.
GAUGAACGCUGGCGGCGUGCCUAAUACAUGCAAGUCGAGCGAACGGACGAGAAGCUUGCUUUUCUGAUGUUAGCGGCGGACGGGUGAGUAACACGUGGAUAACCUACCUAUAAGACUGGGAUAACUUCGGGAAACCGGAGCUAAUACCGGAUAAUAUUUUGAACCGCAUGGUUCAAAAGUGAAAGACGGUCUUGCUGUCACUUAUAGAUGGAUCCGCGCUGCAUUAGCUAGUUGGUAAGGUAACGGCUUACCAAGGCAACGAUGCAUAGCCGACCUGAGAGGGUGAUCGGCCACACUGGAACUGAGACACGGUCCAGACUCCUACGGGAGGCAGCAGUAGGGAAUCUUCCGCAAUGGGCGAAAGCCUGACGGAGCAACGCCGCGUGAGUGAUGAAGGUCUUCGGAUCGUAAAACUCUGUUAUUAGGGAAGAACAUAUGUGUAGUAACUGUGCACAUCUUGACGGUACCUAAUCAGAAAGCCACGGCUAACUACGUG